AAGCGUUGUUCGGAAUUACUGGGCGUAAAGGGCUCGUAGGCGGCCCACUAAGUCAGACGUGAAAUCCCUCGGCUUAACCGGGGAACUGCGUCUGAUACUGGAUGGCUUGAGUUUGGGAGAGGGAUGCGGAAUUCCAGGUGUAGCGGUGAAAUGCGUAGAUAUCUGGAGGAACACCGGUGGCGAAGGCGGCAUCCUGGACCAACACUGACGCUGAGUGAGCGAAAGCCAGGGGAGCAAACGGG
RNAcentral lists this ribosomal RNA (242 nucleotides) under uncultured bacterium. RNAcentral's name for it is "partial 16S ribosomal RNA". It matches the Rfam family "Bacterial small subunit ribosomal RNA", at positions 536 to 776 of the family's 1533-position model. The record is from RNAcentral.